AUUGAACGCUGGCGGCAGGCCUAACACAUGCAAGUCGAACGGUAACAGGAAGACGCUUGCUUCUUUGCUGACGAGUGGCGGCCGGGUGAGUAAUGUCUGGGAAACUGCCUGAUGGAGGGGGAUAACUACUGGAAACGGUAGCUAAUACCGCAUAACGUCGCAAGACCAAAGAGGGGGACCUUCGGGCCUCUUGCCAUCGGAUGUGCCCAGAUGGGAUUAGCUAGUAGGUGGGGUAACGGCUCACCUAGGCAACGAUCCCUAGCUGGUCUGAGAGGAUGACCAGCCACACUGGAACUGAGACACGGUCCAGACUCCUACGGGAGGCAGCAGUGGGGAAUAUUGCACAAUGGGCGCAAGCCUGAUGCAGCCAUGCCGCGUGUAUGAAGAAGGCCUUCGGGUUGUAAAGUACUUUCAGCGGGGAGGAAGGGAGUAAAGUUAAUACCUUUGCUAAUUGACGUUACCCGCAGAAGAAGCACCGGCUAACUCCGUG
This 490-nucleotide ribosomal RNA is filed under the name uncultured bacterium. RNAcentral describes it as "partial 16S ribosomal RNA". It matches the Rfam family "Bacterial small subunit ribosomal RNA", at positions 30 to 507 of the family's 1533-position model. The record is from RNAcentral.